CAGCAUAUACAAUAGAAUCCUCAAUACUCGUACGUCUGUGACAAGUCCUACGCGUGCAGACUAACCCCGCUAAGGGUCUACAAAACACCCUGUCAAGGGUGCCCCGGUUCCGACAUAUCCAAGUGUCCCAAAAGUUUCCAAGUAUCCAAUCCAUGUAUUCCAAAACAAGGGAGGUACAAAGGGUAGUGCUAAUAGCACUUCAAACUGACAUAAACCACAACCCAACUCACAUUCCAUAAUCCCUUUCCCACAACCCAACUCCCAG
RNAcentral lists this long non-coding RNA (265 nucleotides) under Prunus persica (peach). RNAcentral's name for it is "long non-coding RNA (PPER_LNC004574)". Lineage: Eukaryota; Viridiplantae; Streptophyta; Magnoliopsida; Rosales; Rosaceae. The record is from RNAcentral.